This 510-nucleotide ribosomal RNA is filed under the name Colletotrichum crassipes. RNAcentral's name for it is "eukaryotic LSU rRNA". It matches the Rfam family "Eukaryotic large subunit ribosomal RNA", at positions 77 to 593 of the family's 3401-position model. The record is from RNAcentral. Lineage: Eukaryota; Fungi; Ascomycota; Sordariomycetes; Glomerellales; Glomerellaceae.
GCCUCAGUAACGGCGAUGUGAAGCGGCAACAGCUCAAAUUUGAAAUCUGGGUCCUUGCGGCCCGAGUUGUAAUUUGCAGAGGAUGCUUUUGGCGCGGUGCCUUCCAAGUUCCCUGGAACGGGACGCCUUAGAGGGUGAGAGCCCCGUACGGUUGGACACCAAGCCUUUGUAAAGCUCCUUCGACGAGUCGAGUAGUUUGGGAAUGCUGCUCUAAAUGGGAGGUAUAUUUCUUCUAAAGCUAAAUACCGGCCAGAGACCGAUAGCGCACAAGUGAGAGUGAUCGAAAGAUGAAAAGCACUUUGAAAAGAGGGUUAAACAGCACGUGAAAUUGUUAAAAGGGAAGCGCUUGUGACCAGACUUGCGCCCGGUGAAUCACCCAGCUCUCGCGGCUGGGGCACUUUGCCGGCUCAGGCCAGCAUCAGUCUUGCCGUCGGGGACAAAAGCUUCGGGAACGUAGCUCUCUUCGGGGAGUGUUAUAGCCCGUUGCACAAUACCCUUCGGCGGGCUGAG